Molecule: ribosomal RNA, 252 nt
Filed under: uncultured bacterium
Lineage: Bacteria
Also listed under: 1 other name
Description: partial 16S ribosomal RNA
Rfam family: Bacterial small subunit ribosomal RNA
Source: RNAcentral
UACGGAAGGGGCAAGCGUUGUUCGGAAUUAUUGGGCGUAAAGGGCGUGUAGGCGGCUUCGCAGGUCUGUGGUGAAAGGAUACAGCUCAACUGUAUUGAGCCGCGGAAACGGCGGAGCUUGAGGCUGGGAGGGGCUGGUGGAAUUCCCUGUGUAGCGGUGAAAUGCGUAGAGAUGGGGGAGAACACUCGUGGCGAAGGCGGCCAGCUGGACCAGUUCUGACGCUGAGACGCGAAAGCGUGGGGAGCAAACAGG